This 252-nucleotide ribosomal RNA is filed under the name uncultured bacterium. RNAcentral describes it as "partial 16S ribosomal RNA". It matches the Rfam family "Bacterial small subunit ribosomal RNA", at positions 524 to 776 of the family's 1533-position model. The record is from RNAcentral.
UACGUAGGGUGCGAGCGUUGUCCGGAAUUAUUGGGCGUAAAGAGCUCGUAGGCGGUCUGUCGCGUCUGCUGUGAAAACCCGAGGCUCAACCUCGGGCCUGCAGUGGGUACGGGCAGACUAGAGUGCGGUAGGGGAGAUUGGAAUCCUGGUGUAGCGGUGGAAUGCGCAGAUAUCAGGAGGAACACCGAUGGCGAAGGCAGAUCUCUGGGCCGUAACUGACGCUGAGGAGCGAAAGCGUGGGGAGCGAACAGG